RNAcentral lists this RNase P RNA (480 nucleotides) under Rhizobiaceae bacterium. Its description in RNAcentral is "RNase P RNA component class A". It matches the Rfam family "Bacterial RNase P class A". Rfam says of the family: Ribonuclease P (RNase P) is a ubiquitous endoribonuclease, found in archaea, bacteria and eukarya as well as chloroplasts and mitochondria. Its best characterised activity is the generation of mature 5'-ends of tRNAs by cleaving the 5'-leader elements of precursor-tRNAs. Cellular RNase Ps are ribonucleoproteins. Lineage: Bacteria; Pseudomonadati; Pseudomonadota; Alphaproteobacteria; Hyphomicrobiales; Rhizobiaceae. The record is from RNAcentral.
CCAGUCGGCUGGGCGACCGCUGCCGUCAGAUGUCGAAAGACGACGGGGGAGGAAAGUCCGGGCUCCACGGAGAAACGGUGCCGGGUAACGCCCGGCGGGGGUGACCCCAGGGACAGUGCCACAGAAAAUAAACCGCCCCGCCUGCGGUUGCGCUUCGACCGGACGCGGCAUGGGACACCGUCCCACCGUCCAUGGGAUCGACUCCCACGUCGAUAGAAACGGUGCGCAAGCGCAAGCGCCGGCGGGGUAAGGGUGAAACGGUGGGGUAAGAGCCCACCGCGCUUCCGGCAACGGCGGCGGCAGGGCAAACCCCACCGGGAGCAAGACCGAAUAGGGACGACGUGGCGGGCAACCGCCAGCCUUUCUCCGGGCCGGUCGUCCGGGUGGGUUGCUCGAGGCCAUGUGCGAGCAUGGUCCCAGAGGAAUGGUCGCCCGGCAGUUCGCUGCCGACAGAACCCGGCUUACAGGCCGACUGGCAUU